AAAUGAAUUGACGGGGGCCCGCACAAGCAGUGGAGUAUGUGGUUUAAUUCGAAGCAACGCGAAGAACCUUACCAGGGUUUGACAUCCUCUGACGUCCAUAGAGAUAUGGAGUUCUCUUCGGAGACAGAGAGACAGGUGGUGCAUGGUUGUCGUCAGCUCGUGUCGUGAGAUGUUGGGUUAAGUCCCGCAACGAGCGCAACCCUUGUCGUCAGUUACCAUCAUUAAGUUGGGGACUCUGGCGAGACCGCCGUUGACAAAACGGAGGAAGGUGGGGAUGACGUCAAAUCAUCAUGCCCCUUACGUCCUGGGCUACACACGUACUACAAUGGUAGGAACAACAGGCAGCGAAACCGCGAGGUGGAGCCAAUCCCCAAAUCCUAUCUCAGUUCAGAUUGCAGGCUGCAACUCGCCUGCAUGAAGCAGGAAUUGCUAGUAAUGGCAGGUCAGCAUACUGCCGUGAAUACGUUCCCGGGCCUUGUACACACCGCCCGU
Molecule: ribosomal RNA, 492 nt
Filed under: uncultured bacterium
Lineage: Bacteria
Description: bacterial SSU rRNA
Rfam family: Bacterial small subunit ribosomal RNA
Source: RNAcentral